AUUGAACGCUGGCGGCAUGAUUUACACAUGCAAGUCGAACGGUAACAGGCCGCAAGGUGCUGACGAGUGGCGAACGGGUGAGUAAUGCAUCGGAACGUGCCCAGUCGUGGGGGAUAACUACUCGAAAGAGUAGCUAAUACCGCAUACGAUCUAUGGAUGAAAGCGGGGGACCGUAAGGCCUCGCGCGAUUGGAGCGGCCGAUGUCAGAUUAGGUAGUUGGUGGGGUAAAGGCUCACCAAGCCAACGAUCUGUAGCUGGUCUGAGAGGACGACCAGCCACACUGGGACUGAGACACGGCCCAGACUCCUACGGGAGGCAGCAGUGGGGAAUUUUGGACAAUGGGCGCGAGCCUGAUCCAGCAAUGCCGCGUGCAGGAAGAAGGCCUUCGGGUUGUAAACUGCUUUUGUACGGAACGAAACGGCUCUGGUUAAUACCCGGGGCUAAUGACGGUACCGUAAGAAUAAGCACCGGCUAACUACGUG
Molecule: ribosomal RNA, 482 nt
Filed under: uncultured bacterium
Lineage: Bacteria
Description: partial 16S ribosomal RNA
Rfam family: Bacterial small subunit ribosomal RNA
Source: RNAcentral